This 253-nucleotide ribosomal RNA is filed under the name uncultured bacterium. Its description in RNAcentral is "partial 16S ribosomal RNA". It matches the Rfam family "Bacterial small subunit ribosomal RNA", at positions 524 to 776 of the family's 1533-position model. The record is from RNAcentral.
AACGUAGGUACCGAGCGUUAUCCGGAUUUACUGGGCGUAAAGCGCGUUCAGGCGGUUUGGCAAGUCGGGCAUGAAAUCUCUCGGCUCAACCGGGAGAGGUUGUCCGAUACUGCUGGACUUGAGGGCAGUAGAGGGUGGUGGAAUUCCGGGUGUAGUGGUGAAAUGCGUAGAUAUCCGGAGGAACACCAGUGGCGAAAGCGGCCACCUGGACUGUACCUGACGCUGAGACGCGAAAGCGUGGGGAGCGAACAUG